This 211-nucleotide unclassified non-coding RNA is filed under the name uncultured fungus. Its description in RNAcentral is "sequence contains ITS1". Lineage: Eukaryota; Fungi. The record is from RNAcentral.
GUAUAGAUUUUACAUUCACAAACAUUCUGUUAACAUACAUUGGGGUGCGUGAAGAAGCAACAUAGACCAUGGAAGAGAUAUCCAGGGUCUACAAAAGGUGCACAGGUGGAGAUAUAAAGAUGACAAGGUGUGCACAUGCUCCCUAGAGAACCAGCAACAACCCAUCAGGUUUAUUUCAAUAAUGAUCCUUCCGCAGGUUCACCUACGGAAA